CCUACGGGCGGCAGCAGUGAGGAAUAUUGGUCAAUGGUCGGGAGACUGAACCAGCCAAGCCGCGUGAGGGAUGAAGGUACAGAGUAUCGUAAACCUCUUUUGUCAGGGAACAAAGGCGGGGACGUGUCCCCGGAUGAGUGUACCUGAAGAAAAAGCAUCGGCUAACUCCGGUCCAGCAGCCGCGUUACUACGGGGGAUGCGAUCGUUAUCCGGAUUUAUUGGGUUUAACGGGGGCGCAGUGGGUCUGUUUAGUCAGCGGUCAAAGCCCGGGGCUCAACCCCGGCCCGACGUUGAAACUGGCAGUCGCGAGUGGGAGAGAAGGAUGCGGAAUGCGCGGUGUAGCGGUGAAAUGCAUAGAUAUCGCGCAGAACUCCGAUUGCGAAGGCAGCAGGCCGGCUCCACACUGACGCUGAGGCACGAAAGCGUGGGUAUCGAACAGGAUUAGAUACCCGAGUAGUC
Molecule: ribosomal RNA, 459 nt
Filed under: uncultured bacterium
Lineage: Bacteria
Description: partial 16S ribosomal RNA
Rfam family: Bacterial small subunit ribosomal RNA
Source: RNAcentral